UUGCUCCCGGAUGUUAGCGGCGGACGGGUGAGUAACACGUGGGUAACCUGCCUGUAAGACUGGGAUAACUCCGGGAAACCGGAGCUAAUACCGGAUAGUUCCUUGAACCGCAUGGUUCAAGGAUGAAAGACGGUUUCGGCUGUCACUUACAGAUGGACCCGCGGCGCAUUAGCUAGUUGGUGAGGUAACGGCUCACCAAGGCGACGAUGCGUAGCCGACCUGAGAGGGUGAUCGGCCACACUGGGACUGAGACACGGCCCAGACUCCUACGGGAGGCAGCAGUAGGGAAUCUUCCGCAAUGGACGAAAGUCUGACGGAGCAACGCCGCGUGAGUGAUGAAGGUUUUCGGAUCGUAAAGCUCUGUUGUUAGGGAAGAACAAGUGCAAGAGUAACUGCUUGCACCUUGACGGUACCUAACCAGAAAGCCACGGCUAACUACGUGCCAGCAGCCGCGGUAAUACGUAGGUGGCAAGCGUUGUCCGGAAUUAUUGGGCGUAAAGGGCUCGCAGGCGGUUUCUUAAGUCUGAUGUGAAAGCCCCCGGCUCAACCGGGGAGGGUCAUUGGAAACUGGGAAACUUGAGUGCAGAAGAGGAGAGUGGAAUUCCACGUGUAGCGGUGAAAUGCGUAGAGAUGUGGAGGAACACCAGUGGCGAAGGCGACUCUCUGGUCUGUAACUGACGCUGAGGAGCGAAAGCGUGGGGAGCGAACAGGAUUAGAUACCCUGGUAGUCCACGCCGUAAACGAUGAGUGCUAAGUGUUAGGGGGUUUCCGCCCCUUAGUGCUGCAGCUAACGCAUUAAGCACUCCGCCUGGGGAGUACGGUCGCAAGACUGAACUCAAAGGAAUUG
This 847-nucleotide ribosomal RNA is filed under the name Bacillus sp. N36. Its description in RNAcentral is "bacterial SSU rRNA". It matches the Rfam family "Bacterial small subunit ribosomal RNA", at positions 79 to 912 of the family's 1533-position model. Lineage: Bacteria; Bacillati; Bacillota; Bacilli; Caryophanales; Bacillaceae. The record is from RNAcentral.